CAGCACCUCAAGUGGUCAGGAUGAUUAUUGGGCCUAAAGCAUCCGUAGCCGGUCUUACAAGUCCUCCGUUAAAUCCAACUGCUUAACAGAUGGGCCGCGGAGGAUACUAUAAGACUAGGAGGCAGGAGAGGCAAGCGGUACUCAGUGGGUAGGGGUAAAAUCCGCUGAUCCAUUGAAGACCACCAGUGGCGAAGGCGGCUUGCCAGAAUGCGCUCGACGGUGAGGGAUGAAAGCUGGGGGAGCAAACCGGAUUAGAUACCCGUGUAGUCC
This 270-nucleotide ribosomal RNA is filed under the name uncultured archaeon. Its description in RNAcentral is "partial 16S ribosomal RNA". It matches the Rfam family "Archaeal small subunit ribosomal RNA", at positions 477 to 747 of the family's 1478-position model. The record is from RNAcentral.